UAGGGGCCAGAGAGAUGGCUCAGCAGGUAAAAGUGUUUGCCAAAACCUGAUGACCUGAGUUCAAGCUCUAGAACCCAUGUAAAACACCUCUUUGUGCUGAGUUAAAGAACGGAACCAUGUCUCACGUGUCCCUAUAUUCCGAAGUGCCUGCUAUAUACACCUUGUAGCCCUUAGAAAUUCAACAAGAAUAUUUCUGAAGGAGUAUCUCAUUUUUCUCAGUCUCAAUGCCUGAUCAACAUCUGCAUCUGGGGUCUGAUACAUCCAAAGGAUGGGUAAACAUCCGCGACCUAAAGAUGAGAACCCCGCAGCUGACGCUGUCCCCACCCACUGUUUAUGGCGCACCGGGCUUCACUUUAACGCGUUUGCUGCUUUGUCAUAAAAACGGGGGGAGGGGGGAUUUUUGACAAGUUGUCCUUCAAUGGGAAUUUAGUUUUUUUUUUACUUUUCCCCAGUUUUCUACUUUUUGUAAUUUAGUUUUUUGGCUUUUCCCCAGUUUCCUACUGAAGUGCUUUCUGAACAUUCUCAACCUCGUCUGGACUCCAGAGAGAUUUGCCCAAGCUUUGGGCCAAGGCAGCCAAGGGGGUUCCAGGGCCCCUGCAAAUUUAGCAGGAUGGGGCUAGCAGCUGUCUCAGCUAGAUUUGCAUGAAACAGCUGGUGGAGCCAGGGCAGAGAGAGGUGAACUCUCAAGAGAGGAAGAGAGAGGGAAAGUGAGAGAGAGAAGGAGAGAGGGAGGGAGGGAGAGAGAGCUGCAGUUGAUAAGGUCUUCCUGCCUGGACUCUUCUACGAAGAGGCUUCUGGUGCCCUUUCAUCGCAGGGGCUGCUGGAGUCUUUCCAUCGCAGGGGCUGCUGGGGCUCCAUCACAGGGGCUGCUGGAGUCUUUCCAUCACGGCGGGCGGCUGGGGCUCAUCUGCAAAAAAGAUGCUGGGCCCUUCCAUCGCAGGGGCUGCUGGGGCUCCAUAGCAGGGGCCGCUGGAGUCUUUCCAUUGCGGGGGUGGCUGGGGCCCUUCUCCACGGAGGCUGCUGGAGCCCUUCCACCGCAGGGGCUGCUGGUUCAUUCCAUCACAGAGGCUGCUGGACCCCCGCUCUCCCCCAUGGUUUUAUUCACAGAACAGCAAACAAGUUAAAGUGAAGCGCAGUGGGCUAUAUACAGUGGGUGGGGAUAGCAACACAUGUGAGGCUCCUAUUUUGAGGCCUGACAACAUCUACCUGCAAAGCUUAGCUGCAGCUGGGGUGUGGCUGGGCUGAAGCGUGGGAGGGGUGUGUGGAUUACACCCUCAGCCACUAGACCUUGACUAUUUGGGGCUUAGAGUCAAGAAGGGAACAUGACGUUCAGUUGAAAUAAAAGAGAAGUAGAGGAACCUGGGCCUCUUUUGUUAUUUCAGUAACCAGAGUCAGAUCUCUGGGAGUGGUUCUGGCCUGUGCCCACUUGGAGGACCCUCCCACACUUCUACCUUUCUUACAUGGGUGAGCAAUAAUUUUUACUUUACUUUUUUCACUUUAAAAGUGACACAAGAGGCUGGAGAGAUGACUCAGUGGUUAAGAGCACUGGAUGUUCUAGAGGACCUGGGUUCAAGUCCCAGCACCUGCAUGGCAGCUCAUACCUGAC
Long non-coding RNA from Meriones unguiculatus (Mongolian gerbil), 1606 nucleotides. RefSeq lists it as uncharacterized. The transcript is spliced from 4 exons. Lineage: Eukaryota; Metazoa; Chordata; Mammalia; Rodentia; Muridae. The record is from RefSeq and is a predicted model, not a curated record.